CUGGCGGCGUGCUUCAUACAUGCAAGUCGAACGAGAAUCUCUAGCUUGCUAGAGAGGAAAGUGGCGGACGGGUGAGUAAAAAUGUAGGUAAUCUGCCUUUAAGCGGGGGACAACAGUUGGAAACGAUUGCUAAUACCCCAUAUGAGCGUACCUGAGAUGGUAUUCUUGAAAACUCCGGUGCUUAGAGAUGAGCCUGCAUCUGAUUAGCUAGUUGGGGGUGUAAUGGACCACCAAGGCGACGAUCAGUAGCUGGUUUGAGAGGAUGAUCAGCCACAAUGGGACUGAGACACGGCCCAUACUCCUACGGGAGGCAGCAGUAGGGAAUUUUGCGCAAUGGGGGAAACCCUGAACCGCAGCAACGCCGCGUGAAUGAGACGGCCUUCGGGUUGUAAAGUUCUGUCAAUAGGGACGAAAAAUGACGGUACCUAUAGAGGAAGCACCGGCUAACUCCGUGCCAGCAGCAGC
RNAcentral lists this ribosomal RNA (465 nucleotides) under uncultured bacterium. Its description in RNAcentral is "bacterial SSU rRNA". It matches the Rfam family "Bacterial small subunit ribosomal RNA", at positions 36 to 518 of the family's 1533-position model. The record is from RNAcentral.